CUAAUUUACCAAUAGUUCAGUGUUGCCAACUUAAUUUUCCAGAUUUUACCCAAAAUGGAUGUAAAAAUCAACUUUUUUCAUAAAACUAACAACGAGAAGCCCCCAUUUACCUAUUACUAAACCCACAAGUCACCAAAAGGUUCCCUUGGACAUCAAAAUCGCUCAAACUGCCGCUGUGCGUCUCUAGUGUGUGUUCAGUAUUGAGCGUGUUGGGGUCUCUCAAAUCAAUCCUGCCUAAGGGAUUCCCGGCGCAAACAAACCUACUAUGGGGGCGCAACAUCACACAUCCUGGUUCCCCCACAUCAACCUUGAAAAUAAGAACUGAAAUUUUUCCUGAAAAUGUUGGUUUUGCCACUGAGAAAGAGCUUACGUGUGGGUGAAAACGGGGAUCCCGCGCCUGAUUUGGUAUCUUAGACUACUGGAGGUUAGCCCUAGAAUCCCCUCAUUGAUUCACCGGUGUAGUAAGACGUGACGUGGCCCUUAAAACAGCCCCUUGUUAGUGCUAGUAGCAGAAAUAACGCCACUUACGCCUUGGUUGCCCAUCCACAAGAGCUCCUCAUAGCGAUCAAAAGCCAGGGCGCUUACCCCAAAUCGGUCGCCCCCAUCUGCUAAAAUACACUGUGUUUGGACGUACUCCGACUCGAUUCCCAUCAAGUCGGGCACGUCGGGGGGCGACGCCGCCACGGCAAGCUACAAAUUCUCUCGUUACAAACUUAACCUCUACUUUUGCCAAAGAAACCUACCCCGCUUUGGUCGAAAAACAUGCUUAAAAAAUGUGUAGAAAUAAAAAGAGGAAUUAAAAACGACUUUUACGAGUAUUUGUGCUACAUAUUAUCCUAAAAAUUACUUUGUACAUUUCAAACUGGACUUGGAAUUGACAAGUACGGGAAUGCAGAAAUAUGGCCGUCGCGAACUCCGGCAUUAGCGAAGUACUUUCGCCUGAAAAAGUUUUUGAAGCAACCAACA
Molecule: long non-coding RNA, 966 nt
Organism: Tribolium madens (black flour beetle)
Lineage: Eukaryota; Metazoa; Arthropoda; Insecta; Coleoptera; Tenebrionidae
Exons: 3
Source: RefSeq, a predicted model, not a curated record